This is a long non-coding RNA of Triticum aestivum (bread wheat), 451 nucleotides long. RefSeq lists it as uncharacterized. The transcript is spliced from 3 exons. Lineage: Eukaryota; Viridiplantae; Streptophyta; Magnoliopsida; Poales; Poaceae. The record is from RefSeq and is a predicted model, not a curated record.
GGAUCGCUAUACCAGUCAAUCGGGAUCGCCUCGAUCACGAACAAGAACAGUUCCGUCGGCGCCGCUACAGGAGUCAGGAGACGAAAAAAAGGAGACGAUAGUCUUGUCGGUGGUCGCCUUUGCCUCAUCAGAGCGAUCGGAUUCAGACCGCUGUCGUUGCUGUCCUAGCUUCCUCUCUUAAUUUUCAGACUCGUCGUCUCGUCGGAUCAGUCCGUGAUCGAUUGACCGACUCCAGCCUCCAGGGAUCGUUACUUCGUUAGAGAUUGGUCUUACCUCCUCAAUUAAAGAUCACAGUGUAGCAGUUCAACCGGACAUGGCCCAAAACUGGUGCACGGCCAGAGUCAUCGGAGCUAGAUGUUUGCACUGCUUCCGAGAGCUGCGGGAGCACGUCAACCUGAGCGCGCAGGUGCACGGUGUAGUCCACGGCCUCGCGCAACAGAGUGGCCUCAUC